GAGACCCCACCUGAGGGGGAGGGGACGUCACCACAGAGAGGGAGGCCGGGGCGCCCAGCCAGCACCCUGUUGGGGCUGAGAGGGGGCAUCGGGCACCUCGACUGGCUGGCUGCUUCUCCGGAGCCUGGGGCCCCCAGCGCAGGCCAGGGAGGAGUGGGCAGGGAGGGACCGGAGAGCCCUGCUCCAGGGAGAGAGGAAGCCGGCGUGAGCAGCGACUGCGCUGUGCCCAGAAAGGGGCACUUGUUUUCCAGUCCCACUUCCAAAAAAGGCUGGAAGCAGCCGCCGAGGCACCAAGCAAAAAGGAAGGUGGCCAGCGCUCUGGAAGCUGCGACUCUGAGUGGGAGCCAGGUGGGAGAGGAGCCCGGGCAGGCAGGAGCGCAGAGCCACCAGCGUGCGGGCUUCGGCGCAGAGCAGUCCUCUGCCAGCCAUCUUCCCGCCCUCAGCUCUACCUGGGGCCAGUCAGGGGAGAGAAAGAGGCACGGAGGCAGAAAUUGUGAGCUGCCGUGUGUGUGUGUGUGUGUGUGUGUGUGUGUGUGUGUGUGUGUGAGAGAGAGAGAGAGAGAGAGAAAGAGAGAGAGCUGGUGUGUGUGAGAGAGAGAGGGAGAGAGAGCUGGUGUGUGUGUGUCUGCGUACCCCUGCGCAUGUGCGUGCGGGCCACGGGCGGGGGUCCAUCCCCUUUGUGUCCUCUUUACUACUCUCAUCUACCCCACUCUCUCAUGAGCUCCUGACUUGAAAAAUAUACCUCUUCUUUUUUUUUUUUUCCGAUAAAUAAACCUUGGUUGACCUGUACUGGUUUACAGUCUGCAGCUUCCUUAUUGGCCUUAAGCUUCCCUGAUGGCUCAGACAGUAAAGAAUCUGCCUGCAACGCAGAAGGCCCAGGUUCAGUCCCCGGGUUGGGAAGAUCCCCUGGAGAAAGAAAUGGCAACCGACUCCAGUAUUACUGCCUGGAGAAUUCCAUGGACAGUGGAGCCUGGGGGGCUACUGUCCAUGGGAUCCCAAAGAGCUGCACACACACGACUCACCCAGCUUUCACAAACUUAACUAAAUAAUUAAGUAGAAGGUGCCUGCUCACUUCUGUGUAAUUCUCGCUGGGAAAUGCUCUGCAUGAAAGUCCUGGUCUAGAACUUCCACUAAGGCGCCUGUCAGGUAUCAGACCUUACUCCCUGAGUUUCAGGGGUCCUGCCCCUUUCUCCUGCCCUUCCCUAACAGCUGGGGGACCUCAGUGCAGCAGGGAGGGGCUGGCCAGGCCCGUGCCUAGAUCAAGGAGUGCCCAGCACCAGGGCCAGCCAGGGGUAGGGGCGGUUCCGACCUCCAACCAAAUGGCCUCUGGCCUCUAAGAGGCAUACUUCUACACUGGCUGAGCGGGCAGGCGGGUCCCAGGGAGAGGGGGCUGCCCUCAGCCUCGGGGAAAGGGCGUCCUGGACCCCUCUCCGGCCUCAGCCCCCAGGGUCCGCGCUGCCCUGGGGCCACCUGGGAAGCGCACUGCCUCCUCCGGGUGCGAGGCUCCCGCGCCGGCGCCAUCACAGGGGCGCCUGCCUCCUGUGCCCGGUUCCCGGAGUGCGCGCCCCUCCUGGGUUCUCGGCGGGCUCCGUGACUCCCCGCCCAUCCCAGCCAGGCACUGGGCGCCCCGCUCCGCCCCGGACUGGGACCCCACAGCUAAAAUCGUGAACGUUGGGGCGGGAGGGGUGAGGGACGCUCGACCACGGGCAGCUGGGCAGGAUCGGCCUGGGGAGAGACCCCCGGAGCCGGCUGGGGAAGAGAAUCCCUGGACCCGAGGUCGGCCCUGACUGUCCGCCGCUGAGCGGUCAGGGCCGCGGCUCCAAGGUGGACCGGGAGGCAGGGCGCGCCCGCUGGAGCCCUCCGCGCGGACCCUGCCCCGCGCCCCCGGAUGGGGGCGCCGGGGGCCCCCCGCGCUCCCCCCCGGCCGG
RNAcentral lists this long non-coding RNA (1928 nucleotides) under Ovis aries (sheep). RNAcentral's name for it is "lncRNA (ENSOARG00000025472.1)". The stretch from base 829 to 900 matches the Rfam family "tRNA". The record is from RNAcentral. Lineage: Eukaryota; Metazoa; Chordata; Mammalia; Artiodactyla; Bovidae.